RNAcentral lists this ribosomal RNA (380 nucleotides) under Myoxocephalus stelleri (Steller's sculpin). Its description in RNAcentral is "partial 16S ribosomal RNA". It matches the Rfam family "Bacterial large subunit ribosomal RNA", at positions 110 to 839 of the family's 2925-position model. The record is from RNAcentral. Lineage: Eukaryota; Metazoa; Chordata; Actinopteri; Perciformes; Cottidae.
AUGCCCAACAGCUAGCCCACCUAAACAAUUUCAACAAACCCUUGUUAAUAACCCCUGAAUACCCUAGUAUUUAAAUUAAACAAACCAUUUUUCCCCCUUAGUAUAGGCGAUAGAAAAGGGACUACGGCGCAAUAGAGAAAGUACCGCAAGGGAACGCUGAAAGAGAAAUGAAAUAACCCAGUAAAGCCCAAAAAAGCAGAGAUUUAACCUCGUACCUUUUGCAUCAUGAUUUAGCGAGUGUACCCCAAGCAAAGAGCACUUUAGUUUGACGUCCCGAAACUACGUGAGCUACUCCAAGACAGCCUAUUAAUAGGGCGCACCCGUCUCUGUUGCAAAAGAGUGGGGAGAGCUUUGAGUAGAGGUGACAAACCUACCGAACC